UACGUAGGGGCAAGCGUUGUCCGGAAUCAUUGGGCGUAAAGAGCGUGUAGGCGGCUUGGCAAGUCUGACGUGAAAGCCCGCGGCUCAACCGCGGAUUGUCGUUGGAAACUGCCUCGCUAGAGUCCGGAAGAGGAGAGCGGAAUUCCUGGUGUAGCGGUGGAAUGCGCAGAUAUCAGGAAGAACACCCGUGGCGAAGGCGGCUCUCGUGGGACGGUACUGACGGCUGAGACGCGAAAGCGUGGGGAGCGAACAGG
RNAcentral lists this ribosomal RNA (254 nucleotides) under uncultured bacterium. RNAcentral describes it as "partial 16S ribosomal RNA". It matches the Rfam family "Bacterial small subunit ribosomal RNA", at positions 524 to 776 of the family's 1533-position model. The record is from RNAcentral.